Molecule: transfer RNA, 84 nt
Filed under: Rubrobacter sp.
Lineage: Bacteria; Bacillati; Actinomycetota; Rubrobacteria; Rubrobacterales; Rubrobacteraceae
Also listed under: 1 other name
Description: tRNA-Leu
Rfam family: tRNA
About the family: Transfer RNA (tRNA) molecules are approximately 80 nucleotides in length. Their secondary structure includes four short double-helical elements and three loops (D, anti-codon, and T loops).
Source: RNAcentral
GGGGGCGUGGCGGAAUCGGCAGACGCACCGGACUUAAAAUCCGGAGGCCGCAAGGUCGUGUGGGUUCGAGUCCCACCGCCCCUA